Molecule: long non-coding RNA, 1928 nt
Organism: Juglans regia (Persian walnut)
Lineage: Eukaryota; Viridiplantae; Streptophyta; Magnoliopsida; Fagales; Juglandaceae
Exons: 2
Source: RefSeq, a predicted model, not a curated record
UAACCCGAUAGGCAAUGAGCCUAGUCCGUCUACCUCUAACUCAUCUCCAUCUUGGCUCUCAAACCCUACUUCUCUAGAAACACUCCCUUCUCUUCCCAAAACUGACCCUUCCUCAACUGCGGUCGUCUCUCAACCAGUCAAUUCCAUUUCUUCGAAUCACCCAAUGCUCACAAGCCUUUGCAACAAUAUUUGGUGUCCUAAAGUUUGCAGUCAUUGUACGGUUUCUUGGCCCUCAACUCACUUAUCGCUUUCCCUCACUGAGUCAAAAAUUUCUCAAAUUUCUGAGGAACCUGUGUCAUAUACUGAGGCUGCCAAAUAUUCUGAAUGGAGAGAUCCAAUGAAGCUUGAAUUUUAAGCCUUAUUGCAUAACUCCACUUGGGAACUCAUUCCCCCAUCCCCUGUGUUUAAUGUUCUUGGCCCCAAAUGGAUUUUAAAAACCAAGAGCCGUGCUGAUGGUACUCUAGAAAGGCGCAAGGGUCAUCUUGUUGCUAAAGGGUUCCAUUUGCAGCCUGGGGUAGACUACAUAAAAAAUUCUCUCCGGUUGUAAAACUAGUAACAAUUAAUCUACUCGUUUCCUUAGCUUUGUCCUCUAACUGGCCUCUUCAUCAAUUGGACAUCCAAAAUACAUUCCUACAUAGUGAUUUGGAGGAGGCAGUUUACAUGCAUCAACCUCAUGGGUUUGUAAAUUCGGAUUUUCCCACAUAUGUGUGCAAGCUCAAAAAUGACAUCUAUGGUCUUAAACAGAUGCCUAGGGCCUCAUUCUCCAAGCUAAGUACUCAACUUCUUAAUCUUGGUUUUCAAGAAUCUAGGUCAGAUUCAUCUUUGUUUAUAUUUCAAAACUCUGAGCAUGUUUUAUUUGUUUUAGUGUAUGGGGAUGACAUAAUUGUAACUAGGUUUAAUACUGAUCUUAUUACUGAAUUUAUAUUCACACUUGGUCAACAUUUCCCUGUCAAAGAUCUCGGUCAGCUUCAUUUUUUUUUUUCUGGGAAGUCAAGUGCACCGAAACUCACAUGGUCUUUAUUUGAGUCAAGCUAAAUAUAUAUCUUACUUGUUGCAUCGCACAAAUAUGCAUAAUGCCAAAACAAUUUCCACUCCCAUGUCCACUUCCACAAAACUCACUGCAUUUGAUGGAACCUCUUUUGAGGAUCCACAACUCUAUCGUAGUAUUGUAAGAAGUUUGUAGUAUUUAGCUUUUACUCAUCCAGAUAUUUCUUAUUCUGUAAAUAAAUUUUUUCAAUUCAUGCAUUAUCCCAAAAAUUCACUGGUAAGCUGUCAAGCGUAUUUUACACUAUUUGCAUCUUACUUCUCAUUUUGGUCUUAGCUUUUCCAAUAAAUCGUUGCCAACACUUACUGCCUACUCUGAUACUGACUGGAUUGGUUGUCCUGGUGAUAGAAAAUCCACUGGAGGUUUCUGUGUCUACUUUGGUUCACACAUUAUUUCAUGGGGAUCCAAAAAGCAACCAACAGUUGUUCGUUCAUCCACUGACGCCAAGUACAAAGCAAUGGCUAACAUUGCAUGUGAACUCAUUUGGAAACAGUAUCUUCUAAAGGAAAUUGGUAUUAUUAUGAAAAAUCCACCUACUUUGUGGUGUGACAACCUGGGCACUACGUAUAUUUCGUGGCCUGUUGAGGAAAGAGCAUUACCCAAAAUUGAAAACACACCCAAAGGUGGGGCAACCGAGCAACACGCUGUCACGGCAAAUGAGGAAAAAGUGACAAGCCCUCAGAAGGUUUUGGAAGUCUGGCGCACCAGAAUGUGGAAUGCACUAUCAAAAGGAAUAUUUUUCCAUAACAGAAAUGUAUACGUGUCUCAAUAUAAAUGGAAGAUUGUGAUUCUCUCUAUUUAUAUAUUCAUGUAAUGAAGGCAAGAUAUGUACAUUGAACAAUACAGAAAAUACAAAGUAUGCCCUCUGAGGCAAUUCUUCUAA